RNAcentral lists this ribosomal RNA (490 nucleotides) under uncultured bacterium. RNAcentral describes it as "partial 16S ribosomal RNA". It matches the Rfam family "Bacterial small subunit ribosomal RNA", at positions 28 to 507 of the family's 1533-position model. The record is from RNAcentral.
GAUGAACGCUAGCUACAGGCUUAACACAUGCGAGUCGCGGGGCAGCAUGGGGGUUGCUUGCCACUCCCGAUGGCGACCGGCGCACGGGUGAGUAACGCGUAUCCAACCUGCCCUUCACCACGGGAUAACCCGGCGAAAGUCGGACUAAUACCGUAUGUUGUCCAUUGACGGCAUCCGAUUUGGACGAAAGGCUUUGCGGUGAAGGAUGGGGAUGCGUCCGAUUAGCCAGACGGCGGGGUAACGGCCCACCGUGGCUACGAUCGGUAGGGGUUCUGAGAGGAAGGUCCCCCACACUGGAACUGAGACACGGUCCAGACUCCUACGGGAGGCAGCAGUGAGGAAUAUUGGUCAAUGGGCGUAAGCCUGAACCAGCCAAGUAGCGUGCAGGAUGACGGCCCUAUGGGUUGUAAACUGCUUUUAUGCGGGGAUAAAGUGGCCCACGUGUGGGCUUUUGCAGGUACCGCAUGAAUAAGGACCGGCUAAUUCCGUG